RNAcentral lists this ribosomal RNA (429 nucleotides) under uncultured fungus. RNAcentral describes it as "partial 18S ribosomal RNA". It matches the Rfam family "Eukaryotic small subunit ribosomal RNA", at positions 64 to 375 of the family's 1831-position model. The record is from RNAcentral. Lineage: Eukaryota; Fungi.
UAUAAGCAAUUAUACAGCGAAACUGCGAAUGGCUCAUUAAAUCACUUAUCGUUUAUUUGAUAGUACCUUACUACAUGGAUAACCGUGGUAAUUCUAGAGCUAAUACAUGCUAAAAAUCCCGACUUCGGAAGGGAUGUAUUUAUUANAUUAAAAACCAAUGCCCUUCGGGGCUCUCUGGUGAUUCAUGAUAACUUCUCGAAUCGCACGGCCUUGCGCCGGCGAUGGUUCAUUCAAAUUUCUGCCCUAUCAACUUUCGACGGCUGGGUCUUGGCCAGCCGUGGUGACNACGGGUAACGGGGAAAANGGGGAAUAGNCACCUUAUAAUCNGGGAAUAGCAAAUAUAAGUGACGAUUCAUUCNAAUUUCUGCCCCAUCAACUCUCGAUGGUAGGANANANGUCNACCAUGGUCGCAACGGGUAACGGGNAAUA